CUGCCCAGUGACAAAAGUUAAACGGCCGCGGAACCCUAACCGUGCAAAGGUAGCAUAAUCACUUGCCUAUUAAUUGUAGGCUAGAAUGAACGGAUGAACGAAAUAAAGACUGUCUCAAUCAGUAAACUAAAAACUAACAUAUGCAUGAAGAGUUGCAAAUGAUGUCGAAGGACAAGAAGACCCUAUAGAGCUUUAUUUUUAAUGUAGAUAAUAACUAUAUAUAAAAUUCGGUUGGGGCGACCAAGGACACAAUAGAUAACAACCUAAAACAAAAUGAUAAAUUAAUCUACGAAUUGACCCUUAUUAAGAUCAUAAAAACAAGCUACCUUAGGGAUAACAGGCUAAUCCUAUUUAAGAGUCCAUAUCUACAAUAGGGUUUGGCACCUCGAUGUUGGCUUAGGGUAUCAAUAUAGCGCAAAAGUUAUAUAAAGAUGGUUUGUUCAACCAGUAAUUCCCU
RNAcentral lists this ribosomal RNA (457 nucleotides) under Maoridrilus n. sp. 5 TRB-2010. Its description in RNAcentral is "partial 16S ribosomal RNA". It matches the Rfam family "Bacterial large subunit ribosomal RNA", at positions 1859 to 2597 of the family's 2925-position model. The record is from RNAcentral. Lineage: Eukaryota; Metazoa; Annelida; Clitellata; Crassiclitellata; Acanthodrilidae.